This 1018-nucleotide long non-coding RNA is filed under the name Oryctolagus cuniculus (rabbit). RNAcentral describes it as "lncRNA (ENSOCUG00000030867.1)". Lineage: Eukaryota; Metazoa; Chordata; Mammalia; Lagomorpha; Leporidae. The record is from RNAcentral.
AUGUCUUUCUCACCCACAGGCUUCAACCGAAUACCUGUGGCUGUACUUGGAAAAGGUGGCCAGAAGGACCCAUCCAUUUUGGCAAGUGCCUCUGGUCUGAAAGAGUCAAAAUUCAAAACAGCAACUUUAGCUGCCAUCUCCCAGAAGAAAGACACAAGAGGUGAGUUACGUUUAUUUUCAGUUCACCUUCACAAGGUGGGUAUAGAUCUUUGGGAGCCAUGCUUUGUGAUUGAAAUAUAGAGCUCUCUAACUUACAGAAAUCUACACUGGAAUGUCAUCUGUUCCCUGUACACUGUGGGUCCAUUCAAAUGGAAACUUAAGUUCUCCCUUUUGGACAAAUACACAUAAGGCAAACACCAGCUUUAAUGCUCUACUUACUUGAGUCCCUGUUUUCACCUACUUGGGGUUAAAUUCCUGUUUGCUCACUGACACAUGUAAAAACACUUGGACAUUUUUAAAUAGCCUAUUCAACAUUUUUGUUUCCAUUGUCAACUGGGUCCAUUAGAUAUUUUAUCCACUUUUUUGCUGGAAAUGGUAGUUCCCUUCUACCGGUUCUGCUGGUAUUGGUUUAUAAACAAUUUCCUCUCCAAAACUUCCCUGACUACCCUUUCCUGCUUGUUCCAUAGCAUUCAGCUCAUACCCUCAUCUUAGUAUCUACUACAUGGCACUGCAGUUUCUACAUCGUCUAUUUCCAUAGCAUGUUGUAAGUUUGGAGGGAGAAAGAAUCAAGAGUGCCUUGGUAUUCAUUGUAUCUCCCAUGAAUCAACAAAGUGAUUUCUGAUACCUAAGAAGUAUUGAACAAAUAUUCAUUGAGUUAUUGAAUGCAUACAAUAGUUAAAUUCUUUCUUAAACCUGCCUUAUCUUUCUUCUGCCUUACCUUCCUUUGUUUGAUUCCUGGAUAUUUUCUGGGGUUGUAUUUAAAAGAUUGACUAUUAGUUUUAGGAUAAUUUGGUUUUCAGGUGAUAUGAUGGCAUAGUAGGAAAUAUAAUAAAUUUAGUAACUAUUAUGUAAGUAAACA